CCCAUAUGCAUAUUACGUUUGUUGUUGUGAUCCGGUGAAUUCAUAACUAGAAAACCGUGAAGAAAUUGUGGCAGUAAUAGUCAAUGCUUUCAACCUUUUUUUGACCAGUGUACCAAAACCUCCCGAGAUUCCAAAUAAUAUAGAAAUUGUGCAACCGAAAGAAAUGUCCGCACCAACCAGACAAUGUGGCAUGUGGAUAUUAUGUUAUGAGAAUAUUGAAGGAUUACAUUGAACAUUCACGACCUGGACGUUACUUGAAGAAAUAGCUAAACACUACGCCAUAUACAUCAGCACAGAUUAAUGAAAUGCGACAACACUGGGUGAACCAUAUGCUACCGAUAAUUCAAAGUCAUCGUCGCACA
This is a long non-coding RNA of Humulus lupulus (European hop), 362 nucleotides long. RefSeq lists it as uncharacterized. The transcript is spliced from 3 exons. The record is from RefSeq and is a predicted model, not a curated record. NCBI's taxonomy places the organism in Eukaryota, Viridiplantae, Streptophyta, Magnoliopsida, Rosales, Cannabaceae.